AUUGAACGCUGGCGGCAGGCCUAACACAUGCAAGUCGAGCGCUUCUAGCUUGCUAGAGGAGCGGCGAACGGGUGAGUAACGCGUGGGAAUCUGCCUGGUAGUGGGGGACAACGUCUCGAAAGGGACGCUAAUACCGCAUACGCCCUGCGGGGGAAAGGGGGGGAGUCUUCGGACCUCUCGCUAUCAGAUGAGCCUGCGUC
This 200-nucleotide ribosomal RNA is filed under the name uncultured bacterium. Its description in RNAcentral is "partial 16S ribosomal RNA". It matches the Rfam family "Bacterial small subunit ribosomal RNA", at positions 30 to 237 of the family's 1533-position model. The record is from RNAcentral.